CCACCUGCAGGGCUCGGCCACCGCCGAGGAGCUGGCUUUUGUGCGCAAGGAAGUGGAGCUGCUGGAGCGUGAGCUGGCAGCGGGCCCGGGGCUGCUGGAGGACGGCGGGCUGGAUGCCUGCGAGGACUGCGUGGCCGCUGCCUUCGGACAACUGUGCAUGGCGGUGCGGGCGGCUCCCCCUGCCGCACCGCUGGAGACCGAGCUUUUCGCGCAGGGCUGCGUGCGGGACAAGCUGGAGCGCCGCCUGCUGGUCCUGUGGCGUCGCCUGCAGGGCAACGCAGUGCUUAGCCUGCAGCGCCCCCUGCUGGAGCAGGCCGUGCAGCGCCACCGCCCACGCCGCCCGCAGAUGGCGCUCUUCUGCCAGAAGCUGAAUGCCGUGCUGGGUGCUGGGCUGUUGUGCCUGCUCUGCCAGGCGGGGCUGGCCAAGCGCGACUCGGCGCUGCUGAUGGGCGUGUGGGACCCACGCGUGGCUGCGCUGCACAAGCGCAUGAAGGAGGCGCUGGGCCAGUGCAAGGGCUACUUCCACCAGCAAGCCCAGGAGGAUGUGGAGCGCGCCCUGGAGCAGGCGGUGCCCCCCGACCCGGCCGAGCUAGCCACCUCGCUCCUGCGCCAGCUGGAGCAGAACUACGACUGGCUCUGCUGGGCCGUCAUGGCCUGGUGGGAAGAGGGCGAGGUGGAGGGUGAGGCGGGCAGCGGGGAGGUGCUGGCCCAGGGCAGUUUCGUGUCGGCUCGCACUGCCGCGGGGCUCCACCUGGUGGCCUGCUACCAGGAGAGCCCUUUGGCCCUGGACAGGGCUCGCACCAACCAGCUGAUCGGCGAGCUGGAGUGGAAGCUGCCCAACCCGCCGCCCGAGGUCUACGCCAGCCUGGAGGCCGAGCCGGCCCGCGCCCGCGGCUACCUGGCCCGCCGCAUGCUGCAGAAGCUGGCUGAAGGACUGGGGCCCGGAGUCACCCUGCUGGUGGUGCCGGGGAAGCUGGAAAUGAAGAGCAGCUUCCCGCUGGCCACCAGCCUCCUGCACGAAUACCACCACCGUCUGGCCUCGGGCACUGUCUGCAUUUUCGGCUAAGUCCACGAAGCCAACAGGCUCCUGCUGGCUAUGGCCAAGUUAAGCGGCCCGCAAUAAACGCCUCUUCUAUCAAA
This 1140-nucleotide long non-coding RNA is filed under the name Notechis scutatus (mainland tiger snake). RNAcentral's name for it is "lncRNA (ENSNSUG00000007171.1)". Lineage: Eukaryota; Metazoa; Chordata; Lepidosauria; Squamata; Elapidae. The record is from RNAcentral.